GUGAAAUUGUUGAAAGGGAAGCGCUUGCAACCAGACUUGCACGUAGUUAAUCAUCCGGGGUUCUCCCCGGUGCACUUGGCUACGUUCAGGCCAGCAUCGGUUUCGGUGGUUGGAUAAAGGCCUAGGGAAUGUGGCUCUCUUCGGGGAGUGUUAUAGCCCUAGGUGCAAUACAGCCCACUGGGACCGAGGACCGCGCUUCGGCUAGGAUGCUGGCGUAAUGGUUGUAAGCGACCCGUCUUGAAACACGGACCAAGGAGUCUAACAUCUAUGCGAGUGUUUGGGUGUCAAACCCAUACGCGUAAUGAAAGUGAACGGAGGUGAGAACCCUUAAGGGUGCAUCAUCGACCGAUCCUGAUGUCUUUGGAUGGAUUUGAGUAAGAGCAUAGCUGUUGGGACCCGAAAGAUGGUGAACUAUGCGUGAAUAGGGUGAAGCCAGAGGAAACUCUGGUGGAGGCUCGCAGCGGUUCUGACGUGCAAAUCGAUCGUCAAAUUUGCGCAUAGGGGCGAAAGACUAAUCGAACCAUCAGUUGCGCUAGGUGGUUAAGAGGUAGCCUAAACAGCAUACCUAGUCCUGGUCUUAAGGACUACACUAUCAAAUUGUUCGGGGACGUCCUGUUUUAAAUUCUAAACUACCGCAGCCUUCUUGAAAGAGAGGUGCGCACCAGG
RNAcentral lists this ribosomal RNA (666 nucleotides) under uncultured Ascomycota. RNAcentral's name for it is "LSU rRNA". It matches the Rfam family "Eukaryotic large subunit ribosomal RNA", at positions 399 to 1426 of the family's 3401-position model. The record is from RNAcentral. Lineage: Eukaryota; Fungi; Ascomycota.